AACAAAAAAAUUUGCAGCCGUCAUUUUAGUUAGAUUAUCCUGCAUGAAGGGUCGCUUGAGAUACAUGAGCAACAGAGGAUGGAGAGGCAUCAAUGAUUUUUCAGGUCGCUUAUUUUUAAUUGGGUAACCAUGUAGUUUUCAACAAACAUCAGCUGUGUGUAGCGCCGUCACAGUAAUGCAGGCCCAAUAGAAAGGGCUGAAGUAGCUUACUUUGACUCAUUCUUCUAGAUAGCCAAAACUAAAGCCUCUGAAACCACAUCUGUAACCAUAGUAACUUGCCUAUAUACUUCACGACAUACAAAUAAGUAGGUCUCCUCUUCCAGACUUGGACAAGAGAUGCCGAAACAUGACUACUAACUUGAUCCAAACUGUGGUCAUGACCUAUAACAUAUAUGCCCGAUCACCAAAAAUACGCUCUUUGUUUCACAAUAUGAUAGCAUUAAGCCUCCAGUUAUCAAAUUCCAAAAAUAUGGAGUAUUCAACAAGGGGCUGACCAUCUUGACGCAACUAGAAUGAUUUCUUCAUGUGUUCACAUGCCUGUAAAAAGUUAUAAACAUCAAGCUAACUCCUUUUACUGCAUCCUAAAAAUAUUUAGCCGUGUGGCACUGAACAAAAUGCAGCAUAAGGUUGUUAGUCAUGGUACUUGUAGGAAUCCCGUAAUUUUAGAAUAAUAUUUAUAGUAUUAUUGUAUAUAUGGUAAUUAGAUUGGAAAAUUUUGUUUUCUUCAAUUAGGAGAUUACAUACCUUUUCUCUCAACCUCAUUGUACUAUAAAUAAGGAUGUAAGGGUGUAAAGAAUUAUGUGAAAAUAAAAAUUCCCUUUCACUGCGUUUAUGGUAUCAGAGCUCAGCUAGCAUUAGAACCGUCAGUCCAUGGCGGAAAAACCAGUCAACAACAAAGAAUCCAACACCGCCGAUUCAAUAACAAGCGAUGCUGAAUCUGUCCCCACCAUGAGUUCAAUCGGAAUGGAUAGUUCAUCCUUCCAACUCACGGUGGAAAAACUCAAUGAGAAGAAUUACAGAGUGUGGGCCCAAUCAAUUAAGCUGGUAGUCGAUGGAAAAGGGAAAUUAGGAUAUCUCACCGGUGAAACAAAACAACCCACGGAGACAAAUCUUCUAAAAUAGUGGAAAUCUAAAAACUCGAUGGUGAUGGCUUGGCUGGUUAAUUCCAUGAAGCCGUUGAUUAGUAAAACUUACCUCUUCAUGCCGAUUGCAAAGGAUAUAUGGGAAGCGGCUCGUGAGAUAUAUUCAGACACCGAAGAUUCAUCUCAAAUAUUUGAAAUUAAGACCAGACUAUGGCAGAUGAAGCAAGGGGACAAAGAUGUCACUAAGUAUUGCAUGGUAAAACAAUGGGACUGCCCUGGCGAUGGAGUUCGGUAUAAAAAACGACUGGAGAAUGAAAGGGUAUACGAAUUUUUGGUCGAAUUGAAUAGAGAGCUUGAUGACGUGCGUAGCCGAAUCUUAAGCCGCCGACCACUACCACCUACUCGUGAAGUCUUCGCAGAGGUGAAACGGGAGGAAAGCCAACAACAGAUCAUGUUGAAGAAUGAAGCUGGGCCUAACGUGGAGAAUUCAACCCUAGUGACACAUUCAAAUGGACCGAUUAUUGGGUCUAACCCUAGUGGGCAGACCUCAAUAAAUCGGCUGAAAGGUAUUAGUGAGUUUGGGCUUGAGGGGCUUGCAGUAAAAUACAAAACAAUCAAGUGUGAGUGGAUUUAAAAAUGUUAGGCCUGAUGGGUCAACCCAAUUAUUUAGAAGCAGCAAAAAUGGACCAAGCCCAAGACAACAAAAGGAGCGCCCAUGGUGUGACCAUUGUAAAAAACCUGAACAUAGAGAAAACACAUGUCGGGAUCUACACGGAAAACCAACAGAUUGGAAACUAAGACAAAAUGCCAGAAAUCAAAGUUAUCAAGCGGGAAUUGACUCCACUGGAACAAAAAAUAGCACAUCAAGUAGCGCCUUUAAUUCUGAACAGUUGGAACAACUAUACAAAAUGUUUUCCAAUUUCCAAACAACCAGCUCAUCAGGUUCAUUGGCUCACAGAGGUAAUUUCUUUAGAACCCUAAAUAUUACUGCACAUGCCAGAGCGCCAUGGAUUAUCGACUCAGGGGCAUCCAAUCAUAUGACAGACUCUUAUAAUCUAUUUAUUACAUAUUCAACAUGUGCUGUUAAUCUCAAAGUAAAAAUUGCAAAUGGCUCUCUCCUGGAAAAGGGAGUAUCCAAAUCUCUAAAACGAUACAACUAGAAAAUGUUCUUCACGUUCCAAAUCUGUCAUGCAAUCUACUGUCCAUUAGCCAACUGACUAAAAAUUAUAAUUGCUCUGCUAACUUAUUUCCCUCUUAUUGUGUAUUUCAGGACCUAUCAUCGGAGAAGACGAUUGAUAGUGCUAAAGAGAUUGAGGGACUCUACUAAUUUGAUGAAGCCGAUGUGAGUAAACAACGUCAAUUUGCUAGCUGUGAUUCUGCAUUUACCUCUUAAGAAUAGUGAGAUACUAUUAUGGCAUAAUAGAAUGGGACACCUCAACUUUCAAUUUUUAGGACAUGUAUUUCCCUCAAUUUUUUCGAAUAAAGUGAAUUUUGAUCUUACAUGUGAAGUAUGUGAACUUGCAAAACAUCACCGCUCUUCAUUUCCAAAAUCCACGUAUAAACCGUCAAAACCAUUUACCCUUAUCCACAGUGAUGUUUGGGGACCUUCACGAAUUCCCAAUCGUCGAUGACCACACCCAAAUCUGUUGGGUUUAUAUGUCCAAAAAAAAAUCUGAUGUUCGGUCAGUUUUUAUCGACUUCCACACAAUUCCAAACACGAAUUCAAAUUCUGCGCAUGGAUAAUGGCACAGAAUAUUUCAACAAUACCCUACAAACCUACCUUCAAGAAAAUGGGAUAAUCCAUCGAAGUUCGUGUGUAGAUACUCCUCAACAAAAUGGGAUUGCUGAAUGAAAAAACAUGCAUCUCCUUCAGGUUGCUCAAGCCCUUAUGUUCACUACAAAUAUGCCUAAAUUAUUCUGGUGGGCGCUAUUUUAACAUCAGCUUACCUUGUAAAUAGAAUGCCUAGUUGCACCCUCAAUUUUGAAUCCCCUAUCAAAAAAUUCCGAGAAUUCUUUCCUAGCUCUCGAGUCAGCUCAAAUUUACCUCUAAAGGUGUUUGGAUGCACAAGCUUUGUUCAUAUUCACUCUCAUGACGAAAUAAACUUGAACCCCGUGCUGUCAAAUGUGUAUUUAUUGGAUACUCACCUACAUAAAAGGGAUACAAAUGUUAUGAUCCAAACACAAAAAGGUUAUUGGUUAGCCUUGAUUUCACCUUCUUCGAAAAAAAUCCUUAUUUCCAAAAAUCCUCUCUGUAGGGGGAGAAAUCGAGUGAAGAUCGAUUCUUGGAAACCUCCCUUUCUACUCCAUUUUUAACACCACCAUCAUCACCAAACAGUUCUAAUAUGCCAUUUACAAGGACAACUUGAAUUUAGGGGGAGAUCAGGAAAUACAACGCAAAUAGAUAAAAGUCUAUUUAUGAAGGCCAAAAUCAAAGGAGGAAAACCCCACACUCGUAACACCAAGAGAGUCAGAAUCGAUGAUAGCUCCAGAUCCCCAUGAGCCUACUCCUGAACUAUCAAAUAUAGAUCUACCAAUUGCUCUAAAGAAACCCACUCGAUCAUGUACCCUUCACCCUAUCUCAAAAUUCAUAAUUUACAAAACUUUAUCUCCAAGAUUUCGAACCUUUGUCUCUAACCUUGACAACACAAAAAUCCCAAGAAAUAUUCAAGAAGAUUUAGAAACUCCAAAAUGGAGAGAAUCUGUGAUGGAAGAAAUGAGAGCAUUGGAAGCAAAUGAAACGUGGGAUAUAAUGGAACUACCAAAAGGUAAGAAACCUGCUGGAUGUAAAUGGGUGUAUAAUGUGAAGUACAAAACAGACGGGACAGUAGAAGGGUACAAGGCCCACCUAGUUGCAAAUGGACACACUCAGACCUAUGGAAUAGAUUACACAAACAUUUGCACCGGUAGCAAAAUUGAAUACGAUCCGUGUCCUAUUAUUAUUAGCAGUAAAUUUAGAUUUAGCAGUAAAUUUAGAUUGGCAACUCCAACAGCUUGAUAUUAAAAAUGCAUUUUUGAAUGAGGAGUUAGAGGAAGAAGUCUAUAUGACAUUACCACCAGGCUUUUGUAAAAGAAAUGAAGGCAAUAAUGUGUGCAAACUAAAAAAGUCUCUAUACGGCCUCAAGCAGUCACCAAAAGCAUGGUUUGACAGAUUUGCAAGUGUGUUGAAGAAUUAGGGAUAUCGUCAAGGGCGGUCAGACCACAAUAUGUUUUUCAGAAUAUUUGAAGAUGAAACAAGGACCAUUCUGAUCGUGUAUGUUGAUGACAUUAUCCUCACAGGUGACAACACAGUUGAGGUAGAAAGAUUGAAACUGAGUCUAGCCACAGAAUUUGAAGUAAAAGAUUUGGAACAACUGCGAUAUUUUCUGGGAAUGGAAGUGGCCAGAUCAAGGAAAGGUAUUAUUGUCUCACAACGAAAAUACGUCCUAGAUCUACUAACUGAAACUGGCAUGCUUGGUUGCAAAUCAAGUGACACCCCCAUGGAAUUUGGGAGGAAGACGGACAACGUGGGGAAAUCGGUUGAUAAGGACAGGAAUCAGCGACUAGUUGGGAAACUAAUCUACCUAUUACACACUAGACCAGACAUUGCAUUUGCAGUUAGUGUGGUGAGUCAACAUAUGCAUCCUCCUAAGGAAGCUCAUUUAGAAGCAGUAUAUAGAAUCCUGAGGUAUCUCAAAGGUACUCCCGGCAAAGGAUUGUUCUUCAAGAGAACUGAGAAGAGAAAUGUAGAAAUAUUCACAGAUGUUAAUUGGGCAGGAUCAAUGGAAAAAAGAUGAUCAACUACAGGCUAUUGUUCCUUCGUAUGGGGAAACUUGGUAACAUGGAGAAGUAAGAAACAAAAUGUAGUUCCUUGAAGUAGUGCUGAAGCAGAAUUUCGGGCAACGGCCCAGGGUAUAUGUGAAGGACUAUUGUUAAGGAAACUUUUGGGAGAAUUACAAGUUACAAUGAAACUUCCAAUCAAACUCUACUAUGACAACAAAGUUGCGAUCAAUAUUUCACUCAAUCUAGUUCAACAUGAUCGCACCAAACAUGUAGAGGUAAAUAAACACUUUAUCAAAGAAAAAGUUGAUGAUGGAACUAUUUGCAUGACCUAUAUUCCUACCAAAGAACAAACGGCGAAUGUGUUCACUUAAGGACUACACAGACAACAUUUUGACGACUUUAUUUGCAAGUUGGAUAUGAUCAAUAUCUACAAUCCAACUUGAAAAGGAGUGUAGGAAUCCCGUAAUUUUAGAAUAAUAUUUAUAGUAUUAUUGUAUAUAUGGUAAUUAGAUUGGAAAAAAUUGUUUUCUUUAAUUAGGAGAUUACAUACCUUUUCUCACAACCUCAUUGUACUAUAAAUAAGGAUGUAAGGGUGUAAAGAAUUAUGUGAAAAUAAAAAUUCUCUUUCACUG
Molecule: long non-coding RNA, 5473 nt
Filed under: Olea europaea (common olive)
Lineage: Eukaryota; Viridiplantae; Streptophyta; Magnoliopsida; Lamiales; Oleaceae
Description: long non-coding RNA (OEUR_LNC008259)
Source: RNAcentral